Molecule: long non-coding RNA, 249 nt
Filed under: Coffea arabica (coffee)
Lineage: Eukaryota; Viridiplantae; Streptophyta; Magnoliopsida; Gentianales; Rubiaceae
Description: long non-coding RNA (CARA_LNC004637)
Source: RNAcentral
UUUGGACGUACUAUGUGAAUGCAAACCCUAGAUCUAGGGGGGUAUCGGGGGGUCAAAAUUUCUCUUCAAACAUUGAAUGGUACCAAUCACAUUAAUUGUGAUGCCCAAUGCAGAUUUUUUGGAGAGGUCACGAAUAAUGCAGAAAAUAUGAGACUCUAAGAAAAGAAAUAAGAAAUAAAUAUACAAAUAUACAUGUCUUAAAGGAGUGCAUCAUGUCGGGUACGGGGGACUAAUGUUCGUGACUCAAUU